Molecule: long non-coding RNA, 1360 nt
Organism: Gopherus evgoodei (Goodes thornscrub tortoise)
Lineage: Eukaryota; Metazoa; Chordata; Testudines; Testudinidae
Exons: 5
Source: RefSeq, a predicted model, not a curated record
CAUGGCAAGAAAUAAAUCUUCCUAUCUUACCUCAGGCUAAUUCAGCAUAAAGUAUAUGAGACAAGAAUUUACAGUUCAAUUUGCAGCUUGCUUAUUGAAGAGCAACAUAUUCAUUUCAGGAGCAGGCUCUAAUUUUAGAUCAGGAUUGAAGGUGCUAUGAAAACAAGAAUGCUGCAAUGAACAGUAGGGCUUUUCAAGAUCAAUCCAAGUAUAGUUCUUGAACUACAGUACCCAAAAGAUAAAAGGAACCAUGGAAAAGGCUUUAUUGUGGUAAACUGUACCCAUUGCAGUGGUGAAAUCGGACAAUAGAAGCGAGGGAAAACUGUUUUUUCCAGGGAUCACAGGGUAUCGGGGUGAAAGGGCUUGAGGGUACCUCACAGGAAGGAAUUCCCAACUGUGCCUUUCUGGGUUCUCAAAGGAGUACUGCACUUGGGUAGUGGCAGCAUCUACCAAUCCAAGAGAAAUUGGUGCAUCCCACUAGGAAUGAAAUAAUGCUAUGUGGCCUCUUGGUCUUUAUCAGUGGGUUAGCGUGAUGAGUUCCUCCUCGGUGCCACCUGGAACUGGGGUAUAAUUGAGCCCCGUGACCCCCAGUCUGGGGUCUCUUUCAUGUUGUACUGCUGUGACAAGCUGCAAAGCCUUCCAGCCUGCACUCUCAUCAGCAUUCCUACAGAUGGAGCCAGCAGCAACCAGGACUGUUUUCAGUAUCUAGGGGUGUUCCUUUCCAUUGAUGCAACACAGAACCAGCUUGAGCCCCGCCCAGUAACCUUGGAAAAUUACGCACCACCCAUGAGCGGACUUUAAUGACUACACCAGAACCCGACCCUGAAACCUCACUACUCAUGAGGAAGACUGAUGAGCAUGAUGGCCUCUUUUUUUCUGCUCCUCCUGGAAGAGGAAGGUGACUGUAGCUCAUGGGAGUGGCCAGCAGACAAGUUGAACAGAAAAGACGUUGCACAGGGAGAAGCUUUUCAAAGAUGGUGAUGGCUGUAUCAUAAGAACCAGCAUCAUGACUGUGUGACUUGGACUUCAGAGGAUAUAUGCUUCAAGCUCUGGGUGCUGACCUGUGUUUAGAAAGGUUAUUAAAUGUUGUUAUUGCCAUAGGUUAUGCUUCGCGAUGUCUGAGCCUAACCCAGGAAAAUUUUGCACAAAGAAUGACCUUGGUAAAUGCUGUGCAAAGUACUCGAGCCCCUGACAGUGUUUUAAAGAAAAUGACCACACUGGAGGAUACCGCUUAGCACGUUAUAUUGACCAUCUGGUCUGCACAAAAAAAGGUUACAGAAUCUUGCUUAGGAAAAAGAAUACACCUCUACCUGGAUAUAAUGCUGUCCUCAGGAGCAAAAAAAAAUCUUACCGCAUUACA